RNAcentral lists this long non-coding RNA (303 nucleotides) under Gossypium barbadense (sea-island cotton). Its description in RNAcentral is "long non-coding RNA (GBAR_LNC021398)". The record is from RNAcentral. Lineage: Eukaryota; Viridiplantae; Streptophyta; Magnoliopsida; Malvales; Malvaceae.
CUCCAGUGCUUCCUCCGAAGAUGGGUGAUGGGGUGUUGGGGUCCAAUUCCGGAGGGGUGAAACCGACCGGAGCUUCCUUUGUAGCAGCAGCAGAUGAUGCUUCCUCAUCAGCAGCUGCAGCUCUAAUGGUUCUUUGAGCCAUGGAGAAGUUGAGGGACUUGGAAGAGGUAGCAAAGGAAAAUGAUGAGGCUGGUUUCCAUGGGGCCAAAGAUUUUGGGGUGGGGAUUGUGGGGGUGAAGAGACCUGCUUGAGUUGCCAUGGCCAUGUAGAUGAUGGAUGUUAGAGCUGCAGUUGAUGAGUUCU